Anoplopoma fimbria (sablefish) is the source of this 317-nucleotide long non-coding RNA. RefSeq lists it as uncharacterized. NCBI's taxonomy places the organism in Eukaryota, Metazoa, Chordata, Actinopteri, Perciformes, Anoplopomatidae. The transcript has 3 exons. The record is from RefSeq and is a predicted model, not a curated record.
CGGCUCCCCUGUCCUCAAGAACGCUCUCUGUAUGUGCAUCCUAUCCUCUCAUCAGCCCGGUGUGAUUUCCUCUCGGUCUGCCUCGGUCUGGGCUGGAUACAGCUCAGCAUGCGUAUGGGACUUGAGAUGACAUCACAGCUGCUCACUUGAGAGUUGCCCCCCUCUUUCUCAAAUCAAAACAGGUACUGCAUUAAUAGUCUUUUUGGAUUCAUCUCUUCUAAAGAACUGAAAUGAGUGCUCUGGUUUCUGCCUCGAUCUUCCUUUCUCCAUGAAGGCUGUCCGGGUCAGCCGGUGCCACGGUCUGUCUCACUGCGAUC